ACUCAAAUGAAUAGACGGGGACCCGCACAAGCAGUGGAGUAUGUGGUUUAAUUCGAAGCAACGCGAAGAACCUUACCAGGGCUUGACAUCCUCAGAACCCCCAAGAGAUUGGGGGGUGCCUUCGGGAACUGAGAGACAGGUGGUGCAUGGUUGUCGUCAGCUCGUGUCGUGAGAUGUUGGGUUAAGUCCCGCAACGAGCGCAACCCUUAUCGUUAGUUGCUACCAGUAAGAUGAGCACUCUAGCGAGACUGCCGGUGACAAAUCGGAGGAAGGUGGGGACGACGUCAAAUCAUCAUGCCCCUUAUGUCCUGGGCUACACACGUACUACAAUGGCCGUACACAAAGGGAAGCAAGAGAGCGAUCUGGAGCAAAUCCCCAAAAGCGGCCUCAGUUCAGAUUGCAGGCUGCAACUCGCCUGCAUGAAGUCGGAAUUGCUAGUAAUCGCGAAUCAGCAUGUCGCGGUGAAUACGUUCCCGGGUCUUGUACACACCGCCCGU
RNAcentral lists this ribosomal RNA (497 nucleotides) under uncultured bacterium. RNAcentral's name for it is "bacterial SSU rRNA". It matches the Rfam family "Bacterial small subunit ribosomal RNA", at positions 899 to 1397 of the family's 1533-position model. The record is from RNAcentral.